CCUACGGGAGGCAGCAGUGAGGAAUAUUGGUCAAUGGGCGGGAGCCUGAACCAGCCAAGUAGCGUGAAGGAAGAAGGUACUUAGUGUUGUAAACUUCUUUUGUCGGGGAACAAAGGCGGAGACGCGUCUCCGGAUGAGUGUACCCGAAGAAAAAGCAUCGGCUAACUCCGUGCCAGCAGCCGCGGUAAUACGGAGGAUUCGAGCGUUAUCCGGAUUUAUUGGGUUUAAAGGGUGCGCAGGCGGGGGGUUAAGUCAGCGGUGAAAAGUUGGGGCUCAACCCCCGGACUGCCGUUGAAACUGGUUGUCUAGAGUUGGAGAGAGGUAUGCGGAAUUCGUGGUGUAGCGGUGAAAUGCAUAGAUAUCACGAAGAACUCCGAUUGCGAAGGCAGCAUACCAGCUCCACACUGACGCUGAGGCACGAAAGCGUGGGGAUCGAACAGGAUUAGAUACCCCGGUAGUC
Molecule: ribosomal RNA, 460 nt
Filed under: uncultured bacterium
Lineage: Bacteria
Description: partial 16S ribosomal RNA
Rfam family: Bacterial small subunit ribosomal RNA
Source: RNAcentral